GUCCACGCCCUAAACGAUGUCAACUAGGUGUUGGGAGGGUAAAACCUUUUAGUACCGUAGCUAACGCGAGAAGUUGACCGCCUGGGGAGUACGGCCGCAAGGUUAAAACUCAAAGGAAUUGACGGGGACCCGCACAAGCGGUGGAUGAUGUGGAUUAAUUCGAUGCAACGCGAAAAACCUUACCUACCCUUGACAUGUCAGGAACUUGCCAGAGAUGGCUUGGUGCCCGAAAGGGAACCUGAACACAGGUGCUGCAUGGCUGUCGU
This 266-nucleotide ribosomal RNA is filed under the name uncultured bacterium. RNAcentral's name for it is "partial 16S ribosomal RNA". It matches the Rfam family "Bacterial small subunit ribosomal RNA", at positions 793 to 1055 of the family's 1533-position model. The record is from RNAcentral.